Molecule: long non-coding RNA, 2117 nt
Organism: Ailuropoda melanoleuca (giant panda)
Lineage: Eukaryota; Metazoa; Chordata; Mammalia; Carnivora; Ursidae
Exons: 2
Source: RefSeq, a predicted model, not a curated record
AUGCUUAAGGACUGAGCCACCCAGGCACCCCACUGAGCCACCCAGGCGCCCCUGAAUCUGCCUUGUUUAACUUUACAAAAUGAAGCCAUCUACUAUUUGUGGGAAAUUUGCAUUUCUUAGUGGAAGUGAAGUAGGAGUCUUCUAUUUCUAUCCCCUUGUUUGGCAUCCUCCACUUUCUCUUUACUGAAUGCCGUAUAUGAAAGUGUGGGAUGCCUAUUUCACAGGUGACUUGGAGGAUAAAGGACAAAUGAACAGCUUUAGAGAAGUAUUGUUAUGUAAUUUUAAUGAAUGGGAAAGAUGGGCUCAGUUGCCAAGGGGAAGAUAAAUCAAUGGGACAUAAAAGUGCUGGAACAGUCCAUGGGGUAUCCUCUGGUUCUCGCUCAUCUGGAGAAAUGAUGAGGCAUUCCUCCAGGAGCACCCCAAAUCUCUAACAGAGUAAAUGAGGGAGGAAAGAAUAGCUAUAAUUCUUACUUCUGAAAUAGCAGGGAGCCAUAUUAUUGACUGAAUUAUCAGCAUAAGUCCGUUUAAGGUUAUUUUUAUGGCUGAUAUUUUCAAAUGAUGCAGCUGGUCACCUGGGAAGAGCCGAGGCCCAUGCUGAGGUAUGCCCUAGGUAGAGGGGUCCAGUUUCAGUUCACACCUAGCUUUAAGGACUGUGCUACAUGAAAGUAUGAGGUCACUGUUUUUCCAUCAAAAAUGUACAGAUCAGAUCCUAUUUCAAUCAUGUCAUUUUCAAAAGUCAUAUGUAUUGCUUAACACUCUUCCUUACCCCUAGAAAAAAGGAUUUGGGAUGAUAUACUAAAAUAUUCAUUUAUGAGCUAGAGUCAUUUACUAUUACUGUAUUUUAAGUGAAAAAAAAAAAAAGAGCAGGUAAAGGGAACACGUAAUAAAGCCAGAGUAAGGUCACCACAUGAAAGUUUGCAUCACAGGCUCUGAAAGGAGCUUGGGAUGAAUGGAUACGCCGUAGGCAGAACACAAAAGGAGUAGCAUCACACUGUAAGAUUAAUAGUGUUCAUCGGAGGAGCUGCUCUCCACCAAGUCCAGAGAGAAACGUUCUGCUGUGGCUCUCCAUAAAGGGUACACUGAUGGAUGGCACGGCUUCCUCCCUCACAUCUCACCAGUGGAUUCCUCAGUACAUCUGCGGGGCUGUGUCUUAAUGCCCUUCAGCACAGCCCAUUGGCCUCAUGCCCCAACAGUGGGGCCCAAGUACGUGUCUGUCCAGUGAGCUGUCUUGGUCCUUGGAGAAAAUGUAAGCUCUGUCGAAAGAGAUGAUUUUUAGGCAAUUCUUUCAAGCAUUGUGUCUUGCCUUUAAGUUUUUAAAUAAGAAUUGCAUCAUAGCGGUAGAAUGCAUUCUCUAGGAAGAUUCUAGGGAGGGGAAAUUCUUCCAGACCAAAACCAAACACAUUUGCUUUGCCAGCCUGCUGAGGUGAGGGCAGGGCUGACAGUCCCUUAGCAAGGCAACACAGCCUCUGUCUCAAGGGGAUUGGAAGGAUGCCUUGGUCAAGCCAAAAGAUUCCGUUAUUUUUAUAAUCUUGAUGGCCAACUAAGGGAGUAUCCAGAAGGAACAAAAUGCUUUAGCAGAUUGGUUACGAAUAUUGUUCUUCCUAUGUUUUAAAUCGUAACAGUGCAUUUAGCAUGAUUUUCACAAAAAUAGCCUCAACAUUUGCAAUUUAAGUUACAGAAGGCGUGUGGUAAGCUAAAAAUGGUUCCCUCCUACAAAUAGCCAUGUCCUAAUCCCUGGAACCCGUAAGCAUUACUCUAUUUAGAGAAAGGGCCUUUGCAGAUAUGAUAAGUUACAGAUCUUGAAACGGGGUGAUUAUUCUGGGUUAUCUAGUUGGGUCCUAAAUGUAAUCAUGUGUUUCUUUAUAAGAGAGAGGCAGAGGGAAAUUGGAGACAACAUGGGAAAAGGCACACAGAGGGGAGAAGGCAAUGUGAAGACAGAAGUAGAGAUUGGAGUGAUGCGUCCGCGGUCAAGAGAUGCUGUCAGGAGGCAAGGAACAGACUCUCCCCUAAAGCCUCUGGAGGAAGCACGGCUCGGCUGGUGUCUUGAUUUUAGCCCAGUGAAACUAAUUUUGGACUUCUGUCCUCCGGAAUAAAUUUCUGUUGUUUGAGCAUUCAAA